Pongo pygmaeus (Bornean orangutan) is the source of this 3753-nucleotide long non-coding RNA. RefSeq lists it as uncharacterized. The transcript is spliced from 6 exons. The record is from RefSeq and is a predicted model, not a curated record. NCBI's taxonomy places the organism in Eukaryota, Metazoa, Chordata, Mammalia, Primates, Hominidae.
CAAAAAAAAAAAAAAAAAAAAAGCAGCCCAACACCGGUGUCUUGCAUUCAUUACAAAUCGUGUCCACAGCCCACUUCCCAACUUACAACUUCCACCUCCAGGAGAGGACUGGGGGCUGGAGAUUGCAUUAAUUUUCAAUGGCCAGUGGUUUAAUCAAUCAUGACUAAGUAAUGAGCCUGCGUAAAAACCAGAGCUUCCGGUCUGGUGAACACACGGAGGUCCUGGAAAUGGUGGCGCGCCCAGAGGGCAUGGAAGCUCCGCGCCCCUUCCCACAGACCUUGUCCCGUGCAUCGCUUCCAUCCGGCUCUUCUUGAGUUCUGGCCCUUGUAGUAAACCUGCAGUUUCGAUCAAUUUUCUCUCAGGAGGCUCCUCAUUGACUCAUGCAAACAGAUUUCUGGCCAGAACUGCUCCAAGGCCUUCCAGAUGUGCACAGGCAUGGAUGAAUCAGAGCAGAAAUGGACAGAUGCAGCUCAAAUGGAGGGUUCUGCUAUAAUCUCAAUCCAUACCCAGGCUGGAGUGCAGUGGCGCGAUCUCGGCUCACUGCAACCUCUGCCUCCCAGGUUCAAGCGUCUCCUGCCUCAGCCUCUCGAAUAGCUGGGAUUAUAGACAACUACCAUUUUUCCCCCUCUGUCUUGAUGUUCACCUGACAAGCUCCUGGUGGUAGCCGGUAGCUCUGACAGAGAGCAAAAGAAAUAAGGGGCGGUUUUAGCUGAUAACCUCACCAGUCUUCACUUUGGCUCUUCCUUCACUGCCCCUUCAGCUGCAGGGAACUUGCUCUAGGGCAUCUUGGCAGGAGGGAGGGCGUCUGAGGGUACCGAUGCCUGCAGACUUCAAGCAUGGAGAGCAUUCUUGAAGCGGGGCUGUCUGGCCACUUGGAAAAAGGUGGAUUAAUUUGGGGAUAUCCGAGGAGCCCCAGAGGGCCAUUGUAAUUCAAGAUCUUCAGUAAACUUUUGCCACAGAGAAAGAACCCGGCCAGUAUUGGGACCAUCAUGGUGAUGCAGGAUUGAAGGAACAGGAGUUUCGGUUGACUGACAAGUUCCUGGGAGAGAAACAGGCUCAAAUACAGAGAACAGAAAGAUGUCGUGAGGAGCCAGGAAAGAAAAUUUUCCAGGAGUCAGGGAAUUAAUUUCAAUCAGAACAAGGAGCCAGCAAGAACUUCCAGCCUAGGAGGUACUUUUCCAAAGAAGCCUGGGACUCUAACCCAGCUUCUGAGAGUAUACUCAGAAUUGUAAGAAUCAGGUGGGGCGCGGUGGCUCAUGCCUGUAAUCCCAGCACUUUGGGAGGCUGAGGCGGGUGGAUCACUUAAGGUCUGGAGUGUGAGAUCAGCCUGACUAACAAGUUGAAACCCCAUCUCUACUAAAAAAAUACAAAAUUAGCCGGGCGUCAUAGCGCAUGCCUGUAAUCCCAGCUACUUGGGAGGCUGAGGCAGGAGAAUUGCUUGAACCCAGGAGGUGGAGGUUGCAGUGAGCCAAGAUCGCGCCAUUGCACUCCAGCCUGGGCAACAAGAGUGAAACUCUGCCUUGGGGGGACAAAAAGAAUUGUAAGAAUGAAAACCUGUCCUCAAUGUGCCUGAAUAAAUGCUUGUUCAGACACUGGACGUGGAAUCCGAUUCCCCACUGGAUACCCAAACUACAGGAGGUAGGUGGUUCCCAUCCGGACCCGAGUUGCUGUACCAGACAGACCCUUGUCAGAGACACAGCUGGACGUGAGUUAAAGUGGUGAAAAAACAGAUUUUAUUCAGUAACUACUGAAAGUAGGGAAGGAGCUGAGCUCUAUUCCGAUUUCGGCAGAGGUGAUUUGGGUGUUUUAAAGAAAGAAUGAGGGAGACGGGAAUAAAGGAGCUCCGAAGUGUCGGGGAAGCGAAAAAGUGCAAAGGGGAGCUUCCGGAUAGCAAAGCACGUGGAGGUUCCUGGAGGAUGUCCUCCCAGAGAGGACGUGGAACCUUCCUGCUCCCACCAUGCACUUGCCCUGUGUAUCUCUUCCCUUUGGCUGUUCAUCUGCAUACGUGGUAAUUUCCUUUAUAGUAAACCAAUAAACGGAAAUUUGCAGCAGCUGUGAAAAACUUCAAUUUUCUGAAUCCACUAUUGAUUUUUAGUGGCGAUUGCUUAAAUGCCUCAGUUUUAAGUACCAUAACGAAAGGAAAGCAUACGAUUCCUAUAUUAACAAAUCGGAAGUACAUUUUGCAGUUUUUGUUUUGCUUUUUCAGACAGGGUCUUAUUCUGUCAUCCAGGCUGGAGUGCAUUGGUGGGAACACAGCUCACUACCGACUCAGCCUCCUGAGCUCAAGCGAUCCUCCCACCUCAGCCUCUCGAGUGGCUAGGACCACAGACACCCGCGCACUACACCGCCUAACUAAUGUUUCGUUUUAUAUUAUAUUAUGUUAUAUUAUAUUAUUUUAUUUUAUAGAGACAGAGGUCUCACCAUGUCGACCAGGCUAGUUUUGAACUCCUGGCCUCAAGCAAUCCUCCUCCCGCCUCAGCCUCCCAAAGUGCUAAAAUGAUAGGUGUGAGCCACUGCACCCGGUGAUUUUGCAGUUUUUGGAAACCACGAGUUUGAUUUUGGUGUGAAUAUUUUGGAAGAAUCUAUGAAACAAAUGUACUUCAUCUGAUUUCUCAGUAAUGUUGAUGAUAGAUUUACUUCUGAACCUCUUGGACGUGUAUGUUAGAAGUUCUCCACCCAAUUGAUACGGAAUUAAAUAGCUGUGAAAUUACUCUAAGAAGAACCGAAGCAACGUUGGAAAUUUGGUAACUAAUGCCACGUUGGAAGCUAUUCAUGCCAAUGUAGCAUUGCUUCAUACAGGUACUUCCAGAUCUAAUUGAAUACAUCCAGUGGGAAAUUUCACUUUGCAUGAUUUUUUGGCUAUCCUUCUCAUAGUGGACCCCAGUUUUAGUUGUCAGAGUAACACAGACACAGCUGCUUGAAGGUCUUGAAAAUGAGGUUAACAAAUAUUCAGCUUUUGGUGGGAGUUUUUCUCAAGUUGUUGGAAUAGAAUUUGGACUCAGUUCAGAUGCAGAACUGGGACACUGAAUGAUAAGAGAUACUGUGAAAGUUCAAGGACCAUACGAAAAAAAUUUACCUUCUUGCUGCUAUAAACAAUAUAUUGCACAUGGGAAAGAUAGUUACGUUAUGCCUGAUAGUUGUUCUUGAAUGUUUGACACAGAAACUGUACAAGUACCUUCCACAGUCAUCAUGAAUCACUUUUAAUCGAUAAAAAUUUUGUAGGGAAGGAAGCAGUGUCUUUCAGGCCAUUGAAUGAAUUUGAUUACUACUACGAACAAAUCAUCAUUAUUAACAGCCUUCGAGGAAGAAUCAGAUAAGCCAUCAGCAGUAAUUGCAGUACCUGGCAUAGAAGGGCGAAUUUGCCAUAUUUCUCAGCACAUGAAAGAACAUUUGUACCAACUUAGAGCUGGAGGGGAACAAGGUUUAAGAACUUUUCCCAUUAUUAGUGGUAAUGCAUCUGAAAAUUUUGAUUCUGAUUGAAAUACUAUAUGGGUAAUAUAUAAUCAAUGCCCAACUGAAUGGAGAAAACGUACACUUUUUGCAUUGUUAAGCACAGUAAUAUAAUUUUGGCUCUUUGGUAUUGUUCUAGAAUUAAUUUUAAUUCUAGGGAUAUUGCUCUAAAUGUGCUUCUUAUCACUUUUGACUCUUCAGUGUGUUAUCCAGGAAACAAUAUAUAUAUACUUGUGAACUGUUGUUUGUGAUUUAAGCAUAUAUAUUGAAUAAUGUUUCCAGAUUAAAUGACUUCCAAGCUCC